GAGGCCACUGCUAUCGGAGUUCGAUUAAGCCAUGCGAGUCGAGAGGUGCAAGACCUCGGCAUACUGCUCAGUAACACGUGGACAAUCUAACCUAUGGAAGGGGAUAACCCCGGGAAACUGGGGAUAAUACCCUAUAGACUAUGGAUGCUGGAAUGCUUCGUAGUCGAAAGGUCCGCCGCCAUAGGAUGGGUCUGCGGCCGAUUAGGUUGUUGUUGGGGUAACGGCCCAACAAGCCUGUAAUCGGUACGGGUUGUGGGAGCAAGAGCCCGGAGAUGGAUUCUGAGACACGAAUCCAGGCCCUACGGGGCGCAGCAGGCGCGAAAACUUUGCAAUGCGGGAAACCGUGACAGGGGAACUCCGAGUGCCCGUAAAAUCGGGCUGUCCAUCAGUUUAAAUAACUGGUGAAGAAAGGGCCGGGCAAGACCGGUGCCAGCCGCCGCGGUAAUACGGGCGGCUCGAGUGGUGGCCACUAUUACUGGGCUUAAAGCGUUCGUAGCUGGUUUGUUAAGUCUCUGGGGAAAUCUUCCGGCUCAACCGGAAGGCGUCUCAGGGAUACUGGCAGACUAGGGACCGGGAGAGGUGAGGGGUACUCCAGGGGUAGGAGUGAAAUCCCGUAAUCCUUGGGGGACCACCUGUGGCGAAGGCGCCUCACCAGAACGGCUCCGACAGUGAGGGACGAAAGCUGGGGGAGCAAACCGGAUUAGAUACCCGGGUAGUCCCAGCUGUAAACGAUGCGCGUUAGGUGUAUCGGUGACCACGAGUUACCGAGGUGCCGAAGAGAAAUCGUGAAACGUGCCGCCUGGGAAGUACGGUCGCAAGGCUGAAACUUAAAGGAAUUGGCGGGGGAGCACCACAACAGGUGGAGCCUGCGGUUU
Molecule: ribosomal RNA, 875 nt
Filed under: uncultured Methanomicrobiales archaeon
Lineage: Archaea; Methanobacteriati; Methanobacteriota; Methanomicrobia; Methanomicrobiales
Description: bacterial SSU rRNA
Rfam family: Archaeal small subunit ribosomal RNA
Source: RNAcentral